RNAcentral lists this ribosomal RNA (447 nucleotides) under Salinibacterium sp. R-42713. RNAcentral's name for it is "bacterial SSU rRNA". It matches the Rfam family "Bacterial small subunit ribosomal RNA", at positions 18 to 476 of the family's 1533-position model. The record is from RNAcentral. Lineage: Bacteria; Bacillati; Actinomycetota; Actinomycetes; Micrococcales; Microbacteriaceae.
CCUGGCUCAGGAUGAACGCUGGCGGCGUGCUUAACACAUGCAAGUCGAACGAUGAAGCUGGAGCUUGCUCUGGUGGAUUAGUGGCGAACGGGUGAGUAACACGUGAGUAACCUGCCCUUGACUCUGGAAUAAGCGUUGGAAACGACGUCUAAUACCGGAUACGAGCUUCCGCCGCAUGGUGAGGAGCUGGAAAGAAUUUCGGUCAAGGAUGGACUCGCGGCCUAUCAGGUAGUUGGUGAGGUAAUGGCUCACCAAGCCUACGACGGGUAGCCGGCCUGAGAGGGUGACCGGCCACACUGGAACUGAGACACGGUCCAGACUCCUACGGGAGGCAGCAGUGGGGAAUAUUGCACAAUGGGCGCAAGCCUGAUGCAGCAACGCCGCGUGAGGGACGACGGCCUUCGGGUUGUAAACCUCUUUUAGUAGGGAAGAAGCGAAAGUGACGGU